AAAGUCGUAACAAGGUUUCCGUAGGUGAACCUGCGGAAGGAUCAUUACCAUAUUACCGGGCCCGGCUUCGGCUGGCUCGAUUAUACCCUUGUCUUGUCUACCCCGUUUCCUCGGUAAUGGCCUGCCAGAGGACAUUUUUAAACCAUGUACUUGCAAUCAGCGUCAGAAAAUAAAAUAUUUAAAACUUUCAACAACGGAUCUCUUGGUUCUG
This 211-nucleotide unclassified non-coding RNA is filed under the name Ascomycota sp. RNAcentral's name for it is "partial contains small subunit ribosomal RNA, internal transcribed spacer 1, and 5.8S ribosomal RNA". The stretch from base 1 to 47 matches the Rfam family "Eukaryotic small subunit ribosomal RNA", at positions 1785 to 1831 of the family's 1831-position model. Lineage: Eukaryota; Fungi; Ascomycota. The record is from RNAcentral.